RNAcentral lists this ribosomal RNA (253 nucleotides) under uncultured bacterium. Its description in RNAcentral is "partial 16S ribosomal RNA". It matches the Rfam family "Bacterial small subunit ribosomal RNA", at positions 524 to 776 of the family's 1533-position model. The record is from RNAcentral.
UACGAAGGGUGCAAGCGUUGCUCGGAAUUAUUGGGCGUAAAGGGUAGGUAGGUGGUUGCGUAUGUCUGGGGUGAAAUCCCUGAGCUUAACUCAGGACGUGCCUUGGAAACGGCGUAACUAGAGUACUAGAGAGGUUCGUGGAAUUCCUGGUGUAGCGGUGAAAUGCGUAGAGAUCAGGAGGAACAUCAGCGGCGAAGGCGGCGAACUGGAUAGUAACUGACACUCAACUACGAAAGCGUGGGGAGCAAACAGG